RNAcentral lists this ribosomal RNA (390 nucleotides) under uncultured bacterium. RNAcentral describes it as "bacterial SSU rRNA". It matches the Rfam family "Bacterial small subunit ribosomal RNA", at positions 30 to 421 of the family's 1533-position model. The record is from RNAcentral.
AUUGAACGCUGGCGGCAUGCCUUACACAUGCAAGUCGAACGGCAGCACGGGAGCAAUCCUGGUGGCGAGUGGCGAACGGGUGAGUAAUAUAUCGGAACGUGCCCAGUCGUGGGGAUAACGUAGCGAAAGCUACGCUAAUACCGCAUACGAUCUAUGGAUGAAAGCGGGGGAUCGCAAGACCUCGCGCGAUUGGAGCGGCCGAUAUCAGAUUAGUAGUUGGUGAGGUAAAGGCUCGCCAAGCCGACGAUCUGUAGCUGGUCUGAGAGGACGACCAGCCACACUGGGACUGAGACACGGCCCAGACUCCUACGGAGGCAGCAGUGGGGAAUUUUUGGGACAAUGGGCGCAAGCCUGAUCCAGCAAUGCCGCGUGCAGGAUGAAGGCCUUCGG